This 108-nucleotide non-coding RNA is filed under the name Flammeovirga sp. SJP92. RNAcentral's name for it is "SAM riboswitch aptamer (S box leader)". It matches the Rfam family "SAM riboswitch aptamer (S box leader)". From Rfam's summary of the family: The SAM riboswitch is found upstream of a number of genes which code for proteins involved in methionine or cysteine biosynthesis in Gram-positive bacteria. The record is from Rfam by way of RNAcentral. RNAcentral also lists the same sequence under 1 other name. Lineage: Bacteria; Pseudomonadati; Bacteroidota; Cytophagia; Cytophagales; Flammeovirgaceae.
UGCUUAUCAAGAAUGGCAGAGAGAACGGGCUCGUAGAUGCCAUGGCAACCGUUGUUCCCAGCGAAAGGUGCCAAGUCCCGCUUCGGAAGUGUCCGAGAAAGAUGAGCU